This is a long non-coding RNA of Gallus gallus (chicken), 4461 nucleotides long. RefSeq lists it as uncharacterized. The record is from RefSeq and is a predicted model, not a curated record. Lineage: Eukaryota; Metazoa; Chordata; Aves; Galliformes; Phasianidae. The transcript has 2 exons.
AGGCGUGUCACGCUCCGCCGCCAUCUUGGAGGCGCGGGGCUGGGCCGCCACGCGGGGCAGCGCCCCCCCCCCCGCCCCCCCCCGCCGCGCGGGAGGGGGCGGUGUCCUAGCAACGGUCUCCACGGAGCGGGGGCCCCUAGCAACGGGGCCCGGAGCGGGGCCUGCCCCGCGGCACGCCGGGCCUCGGCACCUCUUACUUGAGGCCUCGUCCAGGCCCUCCGGCCUCUCGGCUGCUCCGGGCGGGCCGUGCGGACGGCAGAUCGGCCGCCCCCGCGAGGUGCGUCGAAACGCGGGGAGAAGUGAGAUGGUGGGCGCGGAAGUUCAGCCGCCGGCCCGAGACCCGCCAGGUGCCCGCCUGCUGCUCAGGGCCGCUCCCGCUCCCCGCGCCCACCGCCUGCCGGGCACGCACGGCUCCCACGGCAUCUGUGCCCGGUUUGGUUGCAGACCCCAGCAAAGCCUACUGCUUCAACACAGCCUCUGCUCUCUACGCUGAGUUAAAUAAGCACAGAAGUCGUGGAGAACCCCCAGGAGACGCCCAGCCGGGAGCUGCCAGCCCACGGGCCGCGCCCCGGCACGGCGCAGCACGAGGCAGAGCCCGCGGGCCGCACGGCCCGAGCCGGGAGCCGGCGCUGCAGCGCUGCUGCCUUACGGCACGCCGAGAGACUCCCAGCACAUUCCAGCAGCACCAGCUCCCCCGUGGCCAGCAGCUACCAAUGUCAUCAGGACAACAGCGGGAGAAGCAAUGGCUCUCUGGCGAUGCUCUGUGCUCUGUGCCUGGCCAGGCCAGGUGGUUCCUGUGGCACACUGUGUGCCUGCCCAGGCAGCCCCUGCAGGGACAGGGCAUGAGGAGGCGGCUCAGCUCACACCCGCCCUGUUCUGUCUUGGGGACACAGCAGUACACACAGCCACCAAUACAUCACGCUGCUCCAGGUCUCUGCCACCAUGUAAAAGGCCAUUGCUGACUACCAGUGUGACAGCAUCUUGACGUGGGCUUAAGCCUGGAGGAACACAGCAAGGAGCCCAAGUGACAGCGGCAUUAGCCAGUGCUUCUGGGCCAGGACAAAGGCUCCUGAGUCCAUUCCACCAGUGGCUCCCACUCCAGCCACUGAGCCGAGUGACACCUCCAAGUCACAAAGAACUGCACAAGAUGAAUUCGGGCACCCCACAGCCCAUCCUCUUCCUUACAAGAGCCAGAGGUCAGCACAACAAGAGCCUGCUUGAGCCCAGGCUCUUUGCGACACCAUCUGCUGCUACAGACGUGCCACCUCCCUGGCCCCAUAUAUAGGUCAGGUCUGUCACAGGAUUAGCUGGGGCGAUUGGAGUGAUAUGAGGAAGGCUCCCACUGGAGGCAGGCUUUCCCCCAGCCUCUCCUGAACACUCAGCAUGCCACUGGCUUCCAGACAUACUCUCCCCAGCCUCUCCACCAAGUCCAGGAGAGAUCCUCCCCUCCCCACCAUCUGCAAAACAAGAAAGAAGAAACUGGUACCAAGCACCAAGGAGUUCCCAGCCUUCAGGGAGGGACAGCAGGAGAAUCCCCACCCUAUCCAAAACCUGACAGAGACCAGGUGACGUGGGACACCCCAACAUCAGCAGGUGCUGCACGGCGAGGUGCUUUCCUGCUGGGGAGAGGAGCUCCCUCCCUGCUUUGCACACCUUGGUGGAGCUGAGUUCGCUGGCAGAGGAGGCAAGGACGCCUUCGCUGCGAUCGCACACCACCCACUCACACCCCCGGGCUGCCAGCACUCCCAUCAAACGCCUCCAGCCACACGCGUGGAGACGCUGACAUGAGGAGCGAGGAGCUGCACAGGCAGCGGAACUGAUAACACCCAGUUUCCUGUCGAUCUCUCUCCCACGUGGAUUCUCUGAUGUCUAAUAGCAAGGCUGAGCUGCAGUGCAGAACUAGCAGUCUCUUCCUCCCCAGACCUUUGAGAUAGCUGCUGCACUGCUGAUCUUAACUGAAACCAGCCAGCAAGUUCAAAGCAGAGAGAAGACUUGCAAAUAAACAGUAAGCUUGCGCAAGCCUUCAUUUCCUCAGGACAGGAAUCUGCAGACGUAUCUCCACCUUUCUUCAUUUGCCCUAGAAACAGCUGCACGACCUAAGCAGCGUGACCAGAAGGCUGUGGUGCAGCAGCUCAGGUACCUCUGUAGUUCAGCAGCAUCCAGCAACGGGAAGCACCCUGCCUCAGCCCAUGUCAGAAGGCAUUCAGCAGCCUGCAGUGGCCCCCUCCCAUGGCCACAAGCACUGUGAACCAUGCUCACCUCCGUCUCCUUUCAUCCUGCCACAGGCAGUCCCACAGCUCAGCUGUACAUGGGCGCGGGGAGACGAGCCAGCACAUCCAUAUUCAUCCCUAUCCUGCCACCUGGGCAGCCUCCAAGCCCUGCCACUCCGUCCCUCCACGGGGCACAACGCUUCAGGACUCCUCGCUGCUUUGCCCUUCACGUGUUUACUCUCCAUUCAUACAGCUCUGCCUUAAAGCAGAGACCCCACCUCCCCCAGGCCGCAGCUACCCAAGGGAGCAGGGCUACAGCCUGCAUCCCUCUGCAAGCAUCCCACCCAGCCCUGCCCGCCCUGCACACUGCGUACACUGCGCCAAGGGGCAGCCUCCAGACACCUCCCCGCUGCUUUGCCUGCUGGGCACAGGCCGGACCGCUCACACUGCCCUUCUGCUGCUGGCGGCAGCACCUGGCAAAAAGGACACAGGCAGAGCCAGGAGCCGACGGAUGGCAGCAAGCAAUUCAGCAAAACGAAGCGCCUCUUGAUAGCGCGGGUGACGGUCAGGAAGUUGGGUUGGGUGCUUUGUGUUGUAUUUUAGGAAGCCUGCAGGGACACCAACAACCCGCAACAAGCAUUUUCAGAAAGGAGCUCAGACAAAUUCACAAUUUGCAGCCGCUAUUUGCCCUCUUUUGUCCUUUUAAUUUGCCGGGGGGCUGCUUUCAAGAUGCACUGAAACAGGCGCUGACCACUGCCUUAAGCACGAAGGAAGUUUGCUGCCAUACCUCCCCAGUACAUCACUCACAGAAAACCCUGCACCAGUGCCUGGGGAUAGUUUUAAGAGGGGAAAAAAAAAAACCACCAUGAUUUCCAAGCUGACAGCCCCUGUGCACAAAGCGCGACUGUGCAGUGACAACAGAGCAGCCUGGGGCACAGGAGCUGGCUGACCUCUGCUACAGCUCUCGCCGGCAGAUUUUUAUUGUUCACCACUCGCCCAAAGCACAGGCACACAGAGCAAAGCAACCAAGGCACUCGGAUCAAAAAGCAAACGCAGCCGGGGAGCCGCACCGGCACAGCAGGGAAAAGGCAAGCUGCUGGAGGGAAGCAGGCUCUGCGCCUGCCUGGCCAGGGGAGGAAGAACCGGAGCCAAGCCCCUUCCUGGAGCCACAGCGCAAGGUGCUGGAGCCUGCGGUCACCUCGAGGCAGGCUCAGCCCACAGCAGGCAGCUCAUUGCUAACAGCACGGCCAGUCCCUCUGCUCUCUGUGGUCAAGCUAGAACCUGCACGCUGCUUUUUGGCGUAGCCAAGGGAAGCCCAGGGUGAGGCCACCGUUGGAAGAUGAGGCUCCUGAGGUGCAGGCUGUGGGCAGUGCUCCCCUCACUCUUGCCUUGCAGGCGGCCAAGCAGGGAGCCCUCCCAAAGCACCCCACUCUAGGACACCUGGUCGAGCAAACCCACCAGCCAACCUUUCCUCCAGCACGAGGCAGGUGACAAACCACAUUUCUACAGCUGGCCCUGAGCAGGGAGCCAAGGGACAGCAGGAAGAUGCCGUAUGCCAGCAAUUCGCUUCAGAGAUGAAAACCCAACAGCAUCAAAAAGCUCCGUGCUUUGCUGCCGACAGCCAGUGCUGGCUGCCCAGCCGUGCCCCGCGGCCAGGCUCACGUGACUGCAAAGUGGAUGCACACAGUAGGAGUGGCUGUAGUGACAGCGUUACCACUUGUGUCCGACACACAUCUAAGCCCAGCAAAUCCCAGCGCUCUGCAGCGCUCAUUUACAAACCCCACACGCUCUGCACAGGUACGCAGGCUUCAGCAAGAGCUCAGUGCCCAUGGCCUGCUGGAGACACCCAAGGAACAGUGAGCAUAGGGCUCUGGGACCCUCUGACGUGCAAUGAUGAGCCUGUGCCAUGUGCAGGGCAGGGAGAGCCCUGGUUCGAGCCAGGAGCCCACUGUGCAUCACCGCCACUCCGCGAUGUCAGUGUGCUCCUGCUCCAUGGACACUCACGCACAUGGAAGUGGGGAUACCUGAUGGGAUCAGUGGGACCUCACCCCAUCCCGCUCUGCUUCCCGUGGCUUUGUUUCACACCAAGCCUGUGAUGCAGGACUUCACCAACGGUGGACGCAACGCCACGAGCCAAAGCCCUACCUGCUGGCUGUUACUUCAUUCCUCUAACAGGUCCAUAAAACAGGGAUAAUUAAAUCUCUCCUAAACUCUCUUCCAUUUAAAAUAAAAAUCUAUAGUCCCUAUUUCA